Molecule: ribosomal RNA, 495 nt
Filed under: uncultured bacterium
Lineage: Bacteria
Description: partial 16S ribosomal RNA
Rfam family: Bacterial small subunit ribosomal RNA
Source: RNAcentral
GAUGAACGCUGGCGGCGUGCCUAAUACAUGCAAGUAGAACGCUGAAGGAGGAGCUUGCUCUUCUGGAUGAGUUGCGAACGGGUGAGUAACGCGUAGGUAACCUGCCUGGUAGCGGGGGAUAACUAUUGGAAACGAUAGCUAAUACCGCAUGACAACAGUUAUUGCAUGAUAACUGUUUAAAAGGGGCAACUGCUCCACUACCAGUUGGACCUGCGUUGUCUUAGCUAGUUGGUGAGGUAACGGCUCACCAAGGCGACGAUACAUAGCCGACCUGGGAGGGGGGUCGGCCCCCCUGGGACUGGGGCCCGGCCCCGACUCCUACGGGAGGCAGCCGUAGGGGAUCUUCGGCAAUGGACGGAAGUCUGACCGGGCAACGCCGCGUGAGUGAAGAAGGGUUUCGGAUCGGAAAGCUCUGUUGUAAGGGAAGAACGAGUGUGAGAGUGGAAAGUUCACACUGUGACGGUAUCUUACCAGAAAGGGACGGCUAACUACGUG